This 406-nucleotide ribosomal RNA is filed under the name uncultured bacterium. RNAcentral describes it as "partial 16S ribosomal RNA". It matches the Rfam family "Bacterial small subunit ribosomal RNA", at positions 29 to 526 of the family's 1533-position model. The record is from RNAcentral.
AUUGAACGCUGGCGGCAGGCCUAACACAUGCAAGUCGAACGAGUGGCGGACGGGUGAGUAAUGUCUGGGAAACUGCCUGAUGGAGGGGGAUAACUACUGGAAACGGUAGCUAAUACAGCAUACCAUCAGAUGUGCCCAGAUGGGCUUAGCUAGUUGGUGGGGUAACGGCUCACCAAUGCGACGAUCCCUAGCUGGUCUGAGAGGAUGACCAGCAACAAUGGAACUGAGACACGUGCCAGACUCCUACGGGAGUCAGCAGUGGGGAAGAGUGGACAAUGGGCGCAAGCCUGAUGCAGCCAUGCCGCGUGUAGGAAGAAGGCCUUCGGGUGGUAAAGUACUUUCAGCGGGGAGGCGUUAACCGCAGAAGAAGCACAGGCGAACGCCGUGCCAGCAGCCGCGGUAAUUC